CAUUAUUGAACGAAAACGGGUGGCAAAGGCUGUCGCUGGCUUGAAUGANCAUGUGCACGUCUUUUGCUGCUUAUUUCAUUCAUCUUUCCUCCUGUGCACUAUUUGUAGACACUUGGGAAUGAGAGGUUUGUUGUAUUGAUUGACCUCUUGGCGUUGAAAAAAUUCAAUGCAAUGUCCAAGUGUCUAUGACAUUUUUAUAUACACACGGUUGUAUGUCUAUAGAAUGAGAUGUAGGCUUAUUUAAAGCCAUUAAAUGAUAAAGUACAACUUUCAACAACGGAUCUCUUGGCUCUCGCAUCGAUGAAGAACGCAGCGAAAUGCGAUAAGUAAUGUGAAUUGCAGAAUUCAGUGAAUCAUCAAUCUUUGAACGCAUCUUGCGCUCCUUGGUAUUCCGAGGAGCAUGCCUGUUUGAGUGUCAUUAAAGUAUCUCAAAAGCUCUUAUGUGUUAUGCAUAUGGAACUUUUGGACAAUUGGGAGUUGCCGGUCACUGAUACAAGUGGUGGGCUCUUCUGAAAAGCAUUAGUUGAGGAGCUUUGCACUCUAUUGGUGUGAUAGACUAUCUAUGCCAGGAGAUGCAUUAUUGCCUCUGCUCUCUAACAGUCCUUAUUGGACAAGAUGACGAACUUGACCUCAAAUCAGGUAGGACUACCCGCUGAACUUAAGCAUAUCAAUAA
This 674-nucleotide ribosomal RNA is filed under the name Amanita brunnescens. RNAcentral describes it as "eukaryotic LSU rRNA". The stretch from base 266 to 418 matches the Rfam family "5.8S ribosomal RNA". Lineage: Eukaryota; Fungi; Basidiomycota; Agaricomycetes; Agaricales; Amanitaceae. The record is from RNAcentral.